RNAcentral lists this ribosomal RNA (402 nucleotides) under uncultured bacterium. RNAcentral's name for it is "partial 16S ribosomal RNA". It matches the Rfam family "Bacterial small subunit ribosomal RNA", at positions 30 to 526 of the family's 1533-position model. The record is from RNAcentral.
AUUGAACGCUGGCGGCAGGCCUAACAUAUGCAAGUCGAGCGAGCGGCGGACGGGUGAGUAAUGCGUGGUAACUGCCUAUUAGAGGGGGAUAACUAAUGGAAACGAUAGCUAAUACAGAUUCUAGUAGAUGACCUGCGUUGUAUUAGCUAGUAGGCAGGGUAAUGGCCUACCUAGGCAACGAUACAUAGCCGACCUGAGAGGGUGAUCGGCCACACUGGGACUGAGACACGGCCCAGACUCCUACGGAGGCAGCAGUGGGGAAUAUUGCACAAUGGGCGCAAGCCUGAUGCAGUCAUGCCGCGUGUAUGAAGAAGGCCCUAGGGUUGUAAAGUACUUUCAGUCGGGAGGCGUUACCGACAGAAUAAGCACCGGCUAACUCCGUGCCAGCAGCCGCGGUAAUUC